Molecule: ribosomal RNA, 515 nt
Filed under: uncultured bacterium
Lineage: Bacteria
Description: bacterial SSU rRNA
Rfam family: Bacterial small subunit ribosomal RNA
Source: RNAcentral
UAAAGCGCACGUAGGCGGUUUGACAAGUGGGAUGUGAAAGCCCUGGGCUCAACCUGGGAACUGCAUCCCAAACUGUCAGGCUAGAGUAUGGUAGAGGGGGGCGGAAUUCCCGGUGUAGCGGUGAAAUGCGUAGAGAUCGGGAGGAACAUCAGUGGCGAAGGCGGCCCCCUGGACUGAUACUGACGCUGAGGUGCGAAAGCGUGGGGAUCAAACAGGAUUAGAUACCCUGGUAGUCCACGCUGUAAACGAUGAGAACUGGCCGUCGGGCCCUUCGGGGUUUGGUGGCGUAGCUAACGCGCUAAGUUCUCCGCCUGGGGAGUACGGCCGCAAGGCUAAAACUCAAAUGAAUUGACGGGGGCCCGCACAAGCGGUGGAGCAUGUGGUUUAAUUCGAUGCAACGCGAAGAACCUUACCUGCCCUUGACAUCCUCGGAACUUGUCAGAGAUGACUUGGUGCCUUCGGGAACCGAGAGACAGGUGCUGCAUGGCUGUCGUCAGCUCGUGUCGUGAGAUGUU